AGAACGAACGCUGGCGGCAGGCUUAACACAUGCAAGUCGAGCGCGUGUAGCAAUACACGAGCGGCGCACGGGUGAGUAACGCGUGGAUAUCUGCCUUUUGGUUCGGAAUAACCCCGGGAAACUGGGGCUAAUACCGGAUGGUUCCUACGGGAUAAAGAUUUAUCGCCAAAAGAUGAGUCCGCGUCCGAUUAGCUAGUUGGUGAGGUAACGGCUCACCAAGGCGACGAUCGGUAGCUGGUCUGAGAGGACGAUCAGCCACACUGGGACUGAGACACGGCCCAGACACCUACGGGUGGCAGCAGUCGAGAAUUUUUCUCAAUGGGGGAAACCCUGAAGGAGCGACGCCGCGUGGAGGAUGAAGGUCUUCGGGUUGUAAACUCCUGUCAUUUGGGAACAAGGCGUAGGUAUUAACUGUAUCUACGUUGAUAGUACCAGAAGAGGAAGAGACGGCUAACUCUGCGCCAGCAGCCGC
Molecule: ribosomal RNA, 472 nt
Filed under: uncultured bacterium
Lineage: Bacteria
Description: SSU rRNA
Rfam family: Bacterial small subunit ribosomal RNA
Source: RNAcentral